AGAGUUUGAUCCUGGCUCAGGAUGAACGCUAGCGGCAGGCCUAAUACAUGCAAGUCGAACGGGUCUGGGUAGCAAUACCCAGAUUAGUGGCGCACGGGUGCGUAACGCGUAUGCAACCUACCUUUUAUUGGGGGAUAGCCCGAAGAAAUUCGGAUUAAUACCGCAUACCAUCCCCUGCAGGCAUCUGCGGGGGAUGAAAGCUAAGGCGAUAAAAGAUGGGCAUGCGUGUCAUUAGCUAGUUGGUGAGGUAAGGGCUCACCAAGGCGACGAUGACUAGGGGUUCUGAGAGGAUGAUCCCCCACACUGGUACUGAGAUACGGACCAGACUCCUACGGGAGGCAGCAGUAGGGAAUAUUGGGCAAUGGCCGCAAGGCUGACCCAGCCAUGCCGCGUGAAGGAUGAAGGCCUUCUGGGUUGUAAACUUCUUUUAUCUAGGAAGAAAAUACUCUUGCGAGAGGAACUGACGGUACUAGAGGAAUAAGCACCGGCUAACUCCGUGCCAGCAGCCGCGGUAAUACGGAGGGUGCCAGCGUUGUCCGGAUUUAUUGGGUUUAAAGGGUGCGUAGGCGGCUUGGUAAGUCCGUGGUGAAAGCCAACAGCUCAACUGUUGAACUGCCAUGGAUACUGCCAGGCUUGAGUACAGACGAGGUAGGCGGAAUGGAUCGUGUAGCGGUGAAAUGCAUAGAUACGAUCCAGAACACCGAUUGCGAAGGCAGCUUACUAGACUGUUACUGACGCUGAGGCACGAAAGCGUGGGGAGCGAACAGGAUUAGAUACCCUAGUAGUCC
This 788-nucleotide ribosomal RNA is filed under the name uncultured bacterium. Its description in RNAcentral is "bacterial SSU rRNA". It matches the Rfam family "Bacterial small subunit ribosomal RNA", at positions 8 to 796 of the family's 1533-position model. The record is from RNAcentral.